Molecule: long non-coding RNA, 531 nt
Filed under: Homo sapiens (human)
Lineage: Eukaryota; Metazoa; Chordata; Mammalia; Primates; Hominidae
Description: HSALNT0309107
Source: RNAcentral
UUUGAGUCUGGAUUUACUCACUCAGCAUAACGCAUUUGAGGUUCAUCCAUGUGGUGGAAGUGGGACAGCUGGAUGACCAUGACAUUGGACCUCCAGUAGUGCUCGUGAAGCGAUGCAUCUUGGAAAGGAGGAUCUGCCUGCGUUCCUGACAUCACCCUUGGGAUUUCUCCUCUGCUCUCCAGGCCUCUGGCUCUCCCUGCUGGUUCUGUGCUGGGUCACCUGCCACUGCUCAGCCUGCAUGCCCUGCAGAAGUUGGCUGGAGCCAGCUGGUGGUGACUUGCCAGAGACUCUGGUUAAAUAGGAAUUUUGCAAGCUGGUUGUUAAACCAUUGGUAGCUUGAAAUCAGCCUUGGUGGGAGUAUUUAUAACCCAGAAAUUGGCAAAUACUACAAAUCAAGUCUUGCCUCCAGCAGCUUACCAGUAGUCCACAGCUUACCUGCUCCUCUUAGUACCAAUGAAAACACCUACAUCACCUCGUUUUAAUAGCGACAAACUUGAGAAUUUUUGAUACAAAUAUUUACUAGGAAAAAAA